GAUGAACGCUAGCGACAGGCUUAACACAUGCAAGUCGAGGGGUAACAGGGUAGCAAUACCGCUGACGACCGGCGCACGGGUGAGUAACGCGUAUGCAACCUGCCUAUAACUGGGGAAUAGCUCCCUGAAAGGGGAAUUAACACCGCAUAACACUAUUGAUUCGCAUGGAUUAGUAGUUAAAUGUAGCGAUACAGGUUAUAGAUGGGCAUGCGUGACAUUAGCUAGUUGGUGAGGUAACGGCUCACCAAGGCUACGAUGUCUAGGGGUUCUGAGAGGAAGGUCCCCCAACUGGUACUGAGACACGGACCAGACUCCUACGGGAGGCAGCAGUGAGGAAUAUUGGUCAAUGGGCGCAAGCCUGAACCAGCCAUGUCGCGUGCAGAAAGACUGCCCUAUGGGUUGUAAACUGCUUUUAUAGUAGAAGAAACACAUCUACGUGUAGAUGUCUGCCAGUAUACUAUGAAUAAGCAUC
Molecule: ribosomal RNA, 472 nt
Filed under: uncultured bacterium
Lineage: Bacteria
Description: bacterial SSU rRNA
Rfam family: Bacterial small subunit ribosomal RNA
Source: RNAcentral